UACGUAGGGGGCGAGCGUUGUCCGGAUUUACUGGGCGUAAAGUGUGCGCAGGUGGCCGCGCAAGUCGAGUGUGAAAUCCCCGAGCUUAACUUGGGAAUUGCGCUCGAAACUACGUGGCUCGAGUGUGGCAGAGGAAGGUGGAAUUCCACGUGUAGCGGUGAAAUGCGUAGAGAUGUGGAGGAACACCGAUGGCGAAGGCAGCCUUCUGGGCCAACACUGACGCUCAUGCACGAAAGCGUGGGGAGCAAACAGG
RNAcentral lists this ribosomal RNA (253 nucleotides) under uncultured bacterium. RNAcentral describes it as "partial 16S ribosomal RNA". It matches the Rfam family "Bacterial small subunit ribosomal RNA", at positions 524 to 776 of the family's 1533-position model. The record is from RNAcentral.